AGCCAUCUAUGACACUUUCUCUUCAUUUUUAGAUGAGGAAACAAAAGAACACAGAGCCAAGAUGACAGGGCUAGCAAAGGGGCAAUCAGGAGCCCCCCAACUCAAGAAUCACCUUCAAAUUCAGAAUUAGAAGGGGCCCAACAUUCAGACUUGCAAAGGCUGUGGAACCAUCAAGACCAACCCAUGCCCAACAGGAAUUCCAAGGAAUUUUUCCCUUCAUAAAACCUGAUUAACAGCUAAGGCUUUUCCUGCUACUAAUGAGUUUUCUGCCCCCCAAUCAUCUAUG
RNAcentral lists this long non-coding RNA (286 nucleotides) under Monodelphis domestica (gray short-tailed opossum). RNAcentral's name for it is "lncRNA (ENSMODG00000040129.1)". Lineage: Eukaryota; Metazoa; Chordata; Mammalia; Didelphimorphia; Didelphidae. The record is from RNAcentral.